CCUACGGGUGGCAGCAGUGAGGAAUAUUGGUCAAUGGACGAGAGUCUGAACCAGCCAAGUAGCGUGAAGGAUGACUGCCCUAUGGGUUGUAAACUUCUUUUAUAUGGGAAUAAAAUGUUCCACGUGUGGGAUUUUGUAUGUACCAGAUGAAUAAGGAUAGGCUAACUCAGUGCCAGCAGCCGCGGUAAUACGGAGGAUCCGAGCGUUAUCCGGAUUUAUUGGGUUUAAAGGGAGCGUAGGUGGAUUGUUAAGUCAGUUGUGAAAGUUUGCGGCUCAACCGUAAAAUUGCAGUUGAAACUGGCAGUCUUGAGUACAGUAGAGGUGGGCGGAAUUCGUGGUGUAGCGGUGAAAUGCUUAGAUAUCACGAAGAACUCCGAUUGCGAAGGCAGUUCACUGGACUGCAACUGACACUGAGGCUCGAAAGUGUGGGUAUCAAACAGGAUUAGAUACCCGGGUAGUC
This 460-nucleotide ribosomal RNA is filed under the name uncultured bacterium. RNAcentral describes it as "partial 16S ribosomal RNA". It matches the Rfam family "Bacterial small subunit ribosomal RNA", at positions 338 to 795 of the family's 1533-position model. The record is from RNAcentral.